Molecule: ribosomal RNA, 300 nt
Filed under: uncultured Methanosarcina sp.
Lineage: Archaea; Methanobacteriati; Methanobacteriota; Methanomicrobia; Methanosarcinales; Methanosarcinaceae
Description: bacterial SSU rRNA
Rfam family: Bacterial small subunit ribosomal RNA
Source: RNAcentral
GGUACCUACGGACCGACGGCCGCGUGAAUGGUUGUGGGGCAGGCGUUAUCCGGAAUGCCUGGGUGGUACAGGGGAGUAGACGGAAUAGCAAGUCGGAUUGGAAAGGCCAGGGCUCAACCCCGGAACUGCAUGGGAAACUGUCAAGCGAGAGUACCGGAGGGGUAAGUGGAAUUGCUAGUGUAGCGGUGAAAUGCGUAGAUAUUAGGAGGAACACCAGUGGCGAAGGCGGCUUACUGGACGAUAACUGACGUUGAGGCUCGAAAGCGUGGGGAGCAAACAGGAUUAGAUACCCCAGUAGUC